This 265-nucleotide long non-coding RNA is filed under the name Physcomitrium patens. Its description in RNAcentral is "long non-coding RNA (PPAT_LNC014518)". The record is from RNAcentral. Lineage: Eukaryota; Viridiplantae; Streptophyta; Bryopsida; Funariales; Funariaceae.
ACGAUGCAUUGUCUUUUUAGUUGCAAUCAUAAAUGUCUUACUAAAGAGAAAUUAUUUAUACACAUUUACUGAAGCUUAACUGAGUGCACACAAAAUAAAGUAACAACAAGUUUGAAAGGAAUAAGGAAAUACAAAGUUGUUUGAUGAUUAUUCUUCUGCAGUGUUGAAGAUCUUGUUUCAGUUACCCGUAUUAGUGGAUCAUCUUUUAAAAUAACACAAUAUAUUUGUCAAAUUGAUUAAUUUGAAAUAUAAACAACUUAACAUA